Molecule: ribosomal RNA, 253 nt
Filed under: uncultured bacterium
Lineage: Bacteria
Description: partial 16S ribosomal RNA
Rfam family: Bacterial small subunit ribosomal RNA
Source: RNAcentral
UACGUAGGGUGCGAGCGUUGUCCGGAUUUAUUGGGCGUAAAGCGUGCGUAGACGGUAGCGUAAGUCAGAUGUGAAAGCCCCGGGCUCAACCUGGGAAUUGCAUUUGAGACUGCUCUGCUCGGGUGCGGAAGAGGGAAGCGGAAUUUCCGGUGUAGCGGUGAAAUGCGUAGAUAUCGGAAGGAACACCAGUGGCGAAAGCGGCUUCCUGGUCCGACACCGACGUUCAGGCACGAAAGCGUGGGGAGCAAACAGG